This 277-nucleotide ribosomal RNA is filed under the name uncultured bacterium. Its description in RNAcentral is "partial 16S ribosomal RNA". It matches the Rfam family "Bacterial small subunit ribosomal RNA", at positions 333 to 607 of the family's 1533-position model. The record is from RNAcentral.
UUUUGCCUACGGGGGGCAGCAGUGAGGAAUAUUGGUCAAUGGCCGGAAGGCUGAACCAGCCAAGCCGCGUGAGGGAGGAAGGCGCAGAGCGUCGCAGACCUCUUUUGCCGGGGGACAAAAGGCCGGACUCGUCCGGUCCUGAGGGUACCCGGAGAAAAAGCAUCGGCUAACUCCGUGCCAGCAGCCGCGGUAAUACGGAGGAUGCGAGCGUUAUCCGGAUUCAUUGGGUUUAAAGGGUGCGUAGGCGGAAGGUUAAGUCAGCGGUCAAAUGUCGGUG